This 406-nucleotide unclassified non-coding RNA is filed under the name Ascomycota sp. Its description in RNAcentral is "partial contains small subunit ribosomal RNA, internal transcribed spacer 1, and 5.8S ribosomal RNA". The stretch from base 1 to 47 matches the Rfam family "Eukaryotic small subunit ribosomal RNA", at positions 1785 to 1831 of the family's 1831-position model. Lineage: Eukaryota; Fungi; Ascomycota. The record is from RNAcentral.
AAAGUCGUAACAAGGUCUCCGUAGGUGAACCUGCGGAGGGAUCAUUAACACGUUCUAAACAACGUUUAACCCUAUCAACCAACCACGUGAACUAUUUAAUUCCCUGACCUGGGAGUGAGAGAACUCUGUCCAUUCGCACUAAUGAUGAGCUUUUUAACGAAAGCGGUGUGUUUAGACUAGUAAAGCAACUAACAUUCGCAAGGAUGUUCUUUGACUCUACAAGACCUUUCCCUUUCAGGCUUUAAUCCAAUGUUCCUCUCAUCACUGGAACGAACAAAACCCCUUUCACCUUUCUAUAACUACCGACUGAUCUUUCUUCUUUGUUCAUUCUUAACGGAAUGUCCCGAAGUCGAAAACUUAAUCAAAUAUCUAAGCACAACUCUUAGCAACGGAUAUCUUGGUUCUC